AUUGAACGCUGGCGGCAGGCCUAACACAUGCAAGUCGAGCGGAUGAAGGGAGCUUGCUCCUGGAUUCAGCGGCGGACGGGUGAGUAAUGCCUAGGAAUCUGCCUGGUAGUGGGGGAUAACGUCCGGAAACGGGCGCUAAUACCGCAUACGUCCUGAGGGAGAAAGUGGGGGAUCUUCGGACCUCACGCUAUCAGAUGAGCCUAGGUCGGAUUAGCUAGUUGGUGGGGUAAAGGCCUACCAAGGCGACGAUCCGUAACUGGUCUGAGAGGAUGAUCAGUCACACUGGAACUGAGACACGGUCCAGACUCCUACGGGAGGCAGCAGUGGGGAAUAUUAGACAAUGGGCGAAAGCCUGAUCCAGCCAUGCCGCGUGUGUGAAGAAGGUCUUCGGAUUGUAAAGCACUUUAAGUUGGGAGGAGGGGCAGUAAGUUAAUACCUUGCUGUUUUGACGUUACCAACAGAAUAAGCACCGGCUAACUUCGU
RNAcentral lists this ribosomal RNA (483 nucleotides) under uncultured bacterium. Its description in RNAcentral is "partial 16S ribosomal RNA". It matches the Rfam family "Bacterial small subunit ribosomal RNA", at positions 30 to 506 of the family's 1533-position model. The record is from RNAcentral.